Molecule: long non-coding RNA, 781 nt
Organism: Gorilla gorilla gorilla (western lowland gorilla)
Lineage: Eukaryota; Metazoa; Chordata; Mammalia; Primates; Hominidae
Exons: 4
Source: RefSeq, a predicted model, not a curated record
UCUCUUCCUCCUCCUCUGGCCAUGUAAGACGUGUCUGCUUCGCCGUUGCCUUCCACCAUGAUUGUGAGUUUCAUGAGGCCUUCCUUAGCCAUGCUUCCUGUAUAGUCUGUGAAACGCUUUGAGGGCCCGUGUUGCGAGCAGGAAGAAAAGGAAAGUAGCACUGAGGAACGGAUGGUGCCUGCAGCAGAGAGACAGCUUGGAUUCAUCAGAGAAAUGGCCCAAGAGCUGCAUCAGUCAUUAUUAAAUAGAAAUCAAUAAGUGAAGUCACAAAAUUACGGUAGCCUAAAGGGCACACGAAAGGCCAGUGAUCAUUGCCUCCAAUUAACAUUUGUUAAUACCAGAGGAAGAAAUGCCGCAGAGGAAGCUUCCAACGGCAGGCGAUUUCUCCAUCUCAGCCCAGUCCAAGUGCACAGAGAAGUAAGGAUUCCAGGGACCUUGGCGACCUUGGGAACAGGUGCCAGAAUGAGACUGAGAAACCCUGACCCAACCCUUCCUCCUGGAGAUUCCUCAUCCAUGAAAUUGUCAGGCUGGAAAUGUCUAUGAGACUCUGUGUCUAACCACCUAGAAAACCUUCAGUGUCCUUUGAUAGCAUUUGAUAGAAUUUGAUAGCAUUCAACAAAUACAUGAAAACGUCCAAUGUACCAGCCUCAGGGUAAGGGCACGUGAUGGUGAACACAACAGACCCUGUCCCUAAUCUCACAGAGCUUGUGGUCUGGUGGGGAGAUGGCUUCUGAGAAUACAAGUGUAGCAUAUGUGAGAAACGUGGAACUGAUCAACAAGA